AUACGGAGGUUGCAAGCGUUAAUCGGAAUUACUGGGCGUAAAGCGCGCGUAGGCGGUUUAGUCAGUCAGAUGUGAAAGCCCCGGGCUCAACCUGGGAACUGCAUUUGAUACUGCUGAACUAGAGUAUGGUAGAGGGAAGUGGGAUUCCGGGUGUAGCGGUGAAAUGCGUAGAUAUCCGGAGGAACACCAGUGGCGAAGGCGACUUCCUGGACCAAUACUGACGCUGAGGUGCGAAAGCGUGGGUAGCAAACAGGAUUAGAAACCCCAGUAGUCC
This 274-nucleotide ribosomal RNA is filed under the name uncultured bacterium. Its description in RNAcentral is "partial 16S ribosomal RNA". It matches the Rfam family "Bacterial small subunit ribosomal RNA", at positions 523 to 796 of the family's 1533-position model. The record is from RNAcentral.